UUGAUCCCAAGGGAAUCGCUGGCUGGUCAAGGGCUAGAAGGAAGAGCUGACGUCCUCCAGCACCAUGGAAUCUGGCAAUGCACUGUGGACAGAAGCCCCCACCUCCACCUGCAGGUCCUUAACAAGCGCGUCAAACAAAUAUCCUCACAGUAGGAUCUCCUGAAUGUGAUGUCCCAUCUGUAUUCCUGAAGACAGAUGAAGGCGAUAAGAUCCUGCCCACAAAGUUUGCCUGUGAGAGCAGAGCGGUUUGGGUGCCCCGCGCAUUAACAAGGAUCCCGGGAUCAAGACCUGAACUGAAGUCAGAUGAUUAACCACGUGAGCCACCCCGGUGCCCUUGUCAAUGCUGGAUUUACAACUGGCUCAAAUUCUGAACCCAUGUUGAAUUAGUCGUGCCCCCCCCCCCACCCCGUAUUCAGUUUUCUCUCCUCCACUCCUCCUUUGCUUGGGUUUGUGUCUUCCUGGAUAUACUUGUGGGCUGGGGGAGUGUCUUUUGCCCUGCUCCUCGUUCUCGGUUUUUUCUUCCAGAGAGUCUCAAAUCCGCAUCAUCAGCCCUGGGGCUUCUGUCGCGGCGAUGGUCGUAUGGUUUCCAGUCUCCUGGCGUAAGUCCAGACAGCUCGGUUUUGUACCGACUACGGCCACCUAAAGCUUGCGAUGAACUCAGACAGGCCACCCUCAGAAAACAGCAGCAGCAGCAGCAGCAGCAGCAGAGGAGGAGGAUGGUGGUGUGACCGAGGUCCUACCAGGCUUCUGUGAGGCUUGCUUCUUGUCUGGCGUCUCAAGACCCCACAGCCUUGUCCCGGUGGGCGCAGCACCUCACAACCUCCAGACCCAUGGCCACUGGUCGGAGGACACCCCUUUGCAGCUCCUGAACGUCGUCCUCAAGGUCGGCGCGGAGGACGAAGAAGUGAGCAGCCCUUGGGAAGAUGCUUCUCUGCACGGAGCUCAGAAGAGCCCAGAACGGGGCUUCACUGACGGAGCUGCUAACUCUGUGGGGGGCCUGGAGACAGCGAGAGUGGAAAUGCGGCCGAACCAGGCAGAUGAGGUUUCAGCCUUGUUGGGGCUCAAGUCCUGCUAGAAGAGACCGACUUGAAGCCAGUAGGAAACAUCUUUAUCAUUGGCCUUGAUUCAUUCAUCACAUAGUGUCCAACGUGGAUUCGGUAUGCUGACAACCUGCCUGGCGCAUUACUCCGCUGGCCGCUCCGGUCCAGACGUCAGGCCGUCCCCCGAGGGAAGCCGACCCCACCGGCCCCGAAAGUUCAUGCUUGGGGUGCUGAGCGCCAGGCUGUCCCAGGAAUGGGCCCCUUGGUCCCUGGCCCUCUAUUCCGGCCAGCAGUUCUGGGGAGGCCAAGGCUGGAGCCCGACACUCUCCGUGGUUUCGUGAUCGUUUAAGAAAACAGAAGGGACAAACGUUUCACCGUCUUUAAAAACACAGGAGUCUGAGGAGAGAAGCCAAGGUCCGCCGCUUGGCAGCUCCGCGGGAGGACGAAGCAUCCGUGUCCCUUGCUGACCCACGCUGCGCCGCCUCCUCAUGCCCACGCGGAAGCACGUUUUCAGGCGGCAGUAUUGGCACAGGUGGUGCUGGUCGAUCUGGCAGCGGCGGUCGGAGCGGCCGGUGUAGCUGUGGUUGCUGUGGAUGCCUCCGCUGGAAGCAGCUCUCGCAGCCCUGGCAGGGGAAGACGCUGUAGUGCUUGCCGCUCGACAUGUCCCCACACACCACGCAGUCCACCUGCAGCUCCGGCUUCGCCAGGCUCGGAGUCGCUGGCGGCGCCCGCGGGGGAGGCCCAGGAAGCUGCUGGAGGCCUGCAAGGCCCCGCGGCCAGCACUUCCCGAGCUGCCGCCCCCUCUGUGGCCGCACCUUCCCUGCCUGGGCCUCAGGCGGGGCCCCAGCCUCGCUGGCCUUUGCCGGGCCUUUGCCGCCGCCGCCCACCCUGGGAGCCGGCCUCGAGCUGCAGCCGGUUUUCUCUGGGAAUAGUUUUUCUCCGUUCUCUGCUCUCCUCGGUCUCAGUUUCCAACGCCUUCCUGCGUCUGCAGCCCAAACGUUGUAGGGGAAGUUUGGGUUUGGAAUGGCAGGCUAAAUAGCUGUACCCAACCCAGUGCAAACCAGCAAAGCAUGAAGGACUUUGGGGUUUUUUUGUCUUUUUUUUUUUUUUUU
Neogale vison (American mink) is the source of this 2152-nucleotide long non-coding RNA. RefSeq lists it as uncharacterized. NCBI's taxonomy places the organism in Eukaryota, Metazoa, Chordata, Mammalia, Carnivora, Mustelidae. The record is from RefSeq and is a predicted model, not a curated record. The transcript has 7 exons.